GGGGUUGUGGCUUAGUGGUAGAGCGGUCGCCUAGCACGUGCCAGGCUCUGGGUUCGCUCCUCAGCACUACA
Molecule: transfer RNA, 71 nt
Filed under: Marmota monax (woodchuck)
Lineage: Eukaryota; Metazoa; Chordata; Mammalia; Rodentia; Sciuridae
Description: tRNA.Ala
Source: RNAcentral